This 607-nucleotide ribosomal RNA is filed under the name Burkholderiaceae bacterium L37m. Its description in RNAcentral is "bacterial SSU rRNA". It matches the Rfam family "Bacterial small subunit ribosomal RNA", at positions 757 to 1359 of the family's 1533-position model. Lineage: Bacteria; Pseudomonadati; Pseudomonadota; Betaproteobacteria; Burkholderiales; Burkholderiaceae. The record is from RNAcentral.
AAGCGUGGGGAGCAAACAGGAUUAGAUACCNUGGUAGUCCACGCCCUAAACGAUGUCAACUAGUUGUCGGGUNUUCAUUGACUUGGUAACGUAGCUAACGCGUGAAGUUGACCGCCUGGGGAGUACGGUCGCAAGAUUAAAACUCAAAGGAAUUGANCGGGGACCCGCACAANCGGUGGAUGAUGUGGAUUAAUUCGACGCAACGCGAAAAACCUUACNUACCCUUGACAUGUAUGGAACCCUGGCUGAAAGGUGGGGGUGCCCGAAAGGGAGCCAUAACACAGGUGCUGCAUGGCUGUCGUCAGCUCGUGUCGUGAGAUGUUGGGUUAAGUCCCGCAACGAGCGCAACCCUUGUCCCUAGUUGCUACGCAAGAGCACUCUAGGGAGACUGCCGGUGACAAACCGGAGGAAGGUGGGGAUGACGUCAAGUCCUCAUGGCCCUUAUGGGUAGGGCUUCAUCAGCGUCAUACAAUGGUCGGAACCAGAGGGUCGCCAACCCGCCGAGGGGGAGCCAAUCCCAGAAAACCGAUCGUAGUCCGGAUCGCACUCUGCAAACUCGAGUGCGUGAAGUCUGGAACUCGNUAGUAAGUCGCGGAUCAGCAUGCCG